This 1869-nucleotide ribosomal RNA is filed under the name Escherichia coli. Its description in RNAcentral is "partial 23S ribosomal RNA". It matches the Rfam family "Bacterial large subunit ribosomal RNA", at positions 1 to 1897 of the family's 2925-position model. The record is from RNAcentral. Lineage: Bacteria; Pseudomonadati; Pseudomonadota; Gammaproteobacteria; Enterobacterales; Enterobacteriaceae.
GUUAAGCGACUAAGCGUACACGGUGGAUGCCCUGGCAGUCAGAGGCGAUGAAGGACGUGCUAAUCUGCGAUAAGCGUCGGUAAGGUGAUAUGAACCGUUAUAACCGGCGAUUUCCGAAUGGGGAAACCCAGUGUGUUUCGACACACUAUCAUUAACUGAAUCCAUAGGUUAAUGAGGCGAACCGGGGGAACUGAAACAUCUAAGUACCCCGAGGAAAAGAAAUCAACCGAGAUUCCCCCAGUAGCGGCGAGCGAACGGGGAGCAGCCCAGAGCCUGAAUCAGUGUGUGUGUUAGUGGAAGCGUCUGGAAAGGCGCGCGAUACAGGGUGACAGCCCCGUACACAAAAAUGCACAUGCUGUGAGCUCGAUGAGUAGGGCGGGACACGUGGUAUCCUGUCUGAAUAUGGGGGGACCAUCCUCCAAGGCUAAAUACUCCUGACUGACCGAUAGUGAACCAGUACCGUGAGGGAAAGGCGAAAAGAACCCCGGCGAGGGGAGUGAAAAAGAACCUGAAACCGUGUACGUACAAGCAGUGGGAGCCUCUUUAUGGGGUGACUGCGUACCUUUUGUAUAAUGGGUCAGCGACUUAUAUUCUGUAGCAAGGUUAACCGAAUAGGGGAGCCGAAGGGAAACCGAGUCUUAACUGGGCGUUAAGUUGCAGGGUAUAGACCCGAAACCCGGUGAUCUAGCCAUGGGCAGGUUGAAGGUUGGGUAACACUAACUGGAGGACCGAACCGACUAAUGUUGAAAAAUUAGCGGAUGACUUGUGGCUGGGGGUGAAAGGCCAAUCAAACCGGGAGAUAGCUGGUUCUCCCCGAAAGCUAUUUAGGUAGCGCCUCGUGAAUUCAUCUCCGGGGGUAGAGCACUGUUUCGGCAAGGGGGUCAUCCCGACUUACCAACCCGAUGCAAACUGCGAAUACCGGAGAAUGUUAUCACGGGAGACACACGGCGGGUGCUAACGUCCGUCGUGAAGAGGGAAACAACCCAGACCGCCAGCUAAGGUCCCAAAGUCAUGGUUAAGUGGGAAACGAUGUGGGAAGGCCCAGACAGCCAGGAUGUUGGCUUAGAAGCAGCCAUCAUUUAAAGAAAGCGUAAUAGCUCACUGGUCGAGUCGGCCUGCGCGGAAGAUGUAACGGGGCUAAACCAUGCACCGAAGCUGCGGCAGCGACGCUUAUGCGUUGUUGGGUAGGGGAGCGUUCUGUAAGCCUGUGAAGGUGUGCUGUGAGGCAUGCUGGAGGUAUCAGAAGUGCGAAUGCUGACAUAAGUAACGAUAAAGCGGGUGAAAAGCCCGCUCGCCGGAAGACCAAGGGUUCCUGUCCAACGUUAAUCGGGGCAGGGUGAGUCGACCCCUAAGGCGAGGCCGAAAGGCGUAGUCGAUGGGAAACAGGUUAAUAUUCCUGUACUUGGUGUUACUGCGAAGGGGGGACGGAGAAGGCUAUGUUGACCGGGCGACGGUUGUCCCGGUUUAAGCGUGUAGGCUGGUUUUCCAGGCAAAUCCGGAAAAUCAAGGCUGAGGCGUGAUGACGAGGCACUACGGUGCUGAAGCAACAAAUGCCCUGCUUCCAGGAAAAGCCUCUAAGCAUCAGGUAACAUCAAAUCGUACCCCAAACCGACACAGGUGGUCAGGUAGAGAAUACCAAGGCGCUUGAGAGAACUCGGGUGAAGGAACUAGGCAAAAUGGUGCCGUAACUUCGGGAGAAGGCACGCUGAUAUGUAGGUGAAGCGACUUGCUCGUGGAGCUGAAAUCAGUCGAAGAUACCAGCUGGCUGCAACUGUUUAUUAAAAACACAGCACUGUGCAAACACGAAAGUGGACGUAUACGGUGUGACGCCUGCCCGGUGCCGGAAGGUUAAUUGAUGGGGUCAGCGCA